This 497-nucleotide ribosomal RNA is filed under the name uncultured bacterium. Its description in RNAcentral is "partial 16S ribosomal RNA". It matches the Rfam family "Bacterial small subunit ribosomal RNA", at positions 28 to 507 of the family's 1533-position model. The record is from RNAcentral.
GAUGAACGCUGGCGGCGUGCCUAAUACAUGCAAGUCGAGCGAACAUUCUUUGAGCUUGCUCCUCUGACGUUACCGGUGGACGGUUGAGUAACACGUGGAUAACCUACCUAUAAGACUGGUAUAACUUCGGGAAACCUGAGCUAAUACCGGAUAAUCUAUUGAACCGCAUGGUUCAAUAGUGAAAGAUGGUUUUGCUAUCACUUAUUGUUCUAUCCGCGCCGCAUUAGCUAGUUGGUAAGGUAACGGCUUACCAAGGCAACGAUGCGUAGCCGAACUGAGAGGGUGAUCGGCCACACUGGGACUGAGACACGGUCCAGACUCCUACGGGAGGCAGCAGUAGGGAAUCUUCCGCAAUGGGCGAAAGCCUGACGGAGCAACGCCGCGUGAGUGAUGAAGGUCUUCGGAUCGUAAAACCCUGUUAUUAGGGAAGAAAAAAUGUGAAAGUAACUAUGCACGUCUUGACGGUACCUAAUCAGAAAGCCACGGCUAACUACGUG